Oncorhynchus tshawytscha (Chinook salmon) is the source of this 536-nucleotide long non-coding RNA. Lineage: Eukaryota; Metazoa; Chordata; Actinopteri; Salmoniformes; Salmonidae. The record is from Ensembl.
GUAGAUGGUAGUAGAGGUAGAUGGUAGUAGAGGGUAGAUGGUAGUAGAGGUAGAUGGUAGUAGAGGGUAGAUGGUAGUAGAGGGAGAUGGUAGUAGAGGGUAGAUGGUAGUAGAGGGUAGAUGGUAGUAGAGGGUAGAUGGUAGUAGAGGUAGAUGGUAGUAGAGUAGAGGUAGAUGGUAGUAGAGUAGAGGUAGAUGGUAGUAGAGUAGAGGUAGAUGGUAGUAGAGGUAGAUGGUAGUAGAGGGUAGAUGGUAGUAGAGGGUAGAUGGUAGUAGAGGUAGAUGGUAGUAGAGGUAGAUGGUAGUAGAGGGUAGAUGGUAGUAGAGGGUAGAUGGUAGUAGAGGUAGAUGGUAGUAGAGGGUAGAUGGUAGUAGAGGUAGAUGGUAGUAGAGGUAGAUGGUAGUAGAGGGUAGAUGGUAGUAGAGGUAGAUGGUAGUAGAGGGUAGAUGGUAGUAGAGGUAGAUGGUAGUAGAGGGUAGAUGGUAGUAGAGGUAGAUGGUAGUAGAGGUAGAUGGUAGUAGAGGGUAGAUGGUAG